GACGAACGCUGGCGGCGUGCCUAACACAUGCAAGUCGAACGGAACUGGUUUGAAAGUUUUCUUCGGAAUGAAGUUGAUUUAGUGUAGUGGCGGACGGGGGAGUAACGCGUGAGUAACCUGCCUUCAAGAGGGGAAUAACAUUCUGAAAAGAAUGCUAAUACCGCAUGACAUAUCGGAACCACAUGGUUUUGAUAUCAAAGAUUUUAUCGCUUGAAGAUGGACUCGCGUCCGAUUAGUUAGUUGGUGAGGUAACGGCUCACCAAGACCGCGAUCGGUAGCCGGACUGAGGGGUUGAGCGGCCACCUUGGGAGUGAGGCACCGGCCAGACUCCUACGGGAGGCAGCAGUGGGGUAUAUUGCGCAAUGGGGGCAAACCUGACGCAGCAACGCCGCGUGAAGGAUGAAGGUUUUCGGAUUGUAAACUUCUUUUAUUAAGGACGAAAAAUGACGGUACUUAAUGAAUAAGCUCCGGCUAACUACGUG
Molecule: ribosomal RNA, 482 nt
Filed under: uncultured bacterium
Lineage: Bacteria
Description: partial 16S ribosomal RNA
Rfam family: Bacterial small subunit ribosomal RNA
Source: RNAcentral